RNAcentral lists this transfer RNA (76 nucleotides) under Patescibacteria group bacterium. RNAcentral describes it as "tRNA-Glu". It matches the Rfam family "tRNA". Rfam says of the family: Transfer RNA (tRNA) molecules are approximately 80 nucleotides in length. Their secondary structure includes four short double-helical elements and three loops (D, anti-codon, and T loops). Further hydrogen bonds mediate the characteristic L-shaped molecular structure. tRNAs have two regions of fundamental functional importance: the anti-codon, which is responsible for specific mRNA codon recognition, and the 3' end, to which the tRNAs corresponding amino acid is attached (by aminoacyl-tRNA synthetases). tRNAs cope with the degeneracy of the genetic code in two manners: having more than one tRNA (with a specific anti-codon) for a particular amino acid; and 'wobble' base-pairing, i.e. permitting non-standard base-pairing at the 3rd anti-codon position. The record is from RNAcentral.
GGCCCCAUCGUCUAGAGGCCUAGGACAGCGGGUUUUCAAUCCGUUAACCGGGGUUCGAAUCCCCGUGGGGCUACCA